Molecule: ribosomal RNA, 619 nt
Filed under: Methanosarcina sp. enrichment culture clone F04
Lineage: Archaea; Methanobacteriati; Methanobacteriota; Methanomicrobia; Methanosarcinales; Methanosarcinaceae
Description: bacterial SSU rRNA
Rfam family: Archaeal small subunit ribosomal RNA
Source: RNAcentral
GCCCUUGGGUCCGGCAUAACCCCGGGAAACUGGGGAUAAUUCCGGAUAACGCAUAUAUGCUGGAAUGCUUUAUGCGUCAAAUGGAUUCGUCUGCCCAAGGAUGGGUCUGCGGCCUAUCAGGUAGUAGUGGGUGUAAUGUACCUACUAGCCGACGACGGGUACGGGUUGUGAGAGCAAGAGCCCGGAGAUGGAUUCUGAGACAUGAAUCCAGGCCCUACGGGGCGCAGCAGGCGCGAAAACUUUACAAUGCGGGAAACCGUGAUAAGGGGACACCGAGCGCCAGCAUCAUAUGCUGGCUGUCCGGGUGUGUAAAAUACACCCGUUAGCAAGGGCCGGGCAAGACCGGUGCCAGCCGCCGCGGUAACACCGGCGGCCCGAGUGGUGAUCGUGAUUAUUGGGUCUAAAGGGUCCGUAGCCGGUUUGGUCAGUCCUCCGGGAAAUCUGACGGCUUAACCGUUAGGCUUUCGGAGGAUACUGCCAGGCUUGGAACCGGGAGAGGUAAGAGGUACUACAGGGGUAGGAGUGAAAUCUUGUAAUCCCUGUGGGACCACCUGUGGCGAAGGCGUCUUACCAGAACGGGUUCGACGGUGAGGGACGAAAGCUGGGGGCACGAACCGGA